This 292-nucleotide ribosomal RNA is filed under the name uncultured prokaryote. Its description in RNAcentral is "partial 16S ribosomal RNA". It matches the Rfam family "Bacterial small subunit ribosomal RNA", at positions 505 to 796 of the family's 1533-position model. The record is from RNAcentral.
GUGUCAGCCGCCGCGGUAAUACGAAGGGGGCUAGCGUUGCUCGGAAUUACUGGGCGUAAAGGGAGCGUAGGCGGACAAUUAAGUCAGGGGUGAAAUCCCAGAGCUCAACUCUGGAACUGCCUUUGAUACUGGGUGUCUUGAGUAAGAUAGAGGUAUGUGGAACUCCGAGUGUAGAGGUGAAAAUCGUAGAUAUUCGGAAGAACACCAGUGGCGAAGGCGACAUACUGGAUCAUUACUGACGCUGAGGCUCGAAAGCGUGGGGAGCAAACAGGAUUAGAAACCCCAGUAGUCC